This 1372-nucleotide ribosomal RNA is filed under the name uncultured bacterium. RNAcentral's name for it is "bacterial SSU rRNA". It matches the Rfam family "Bacterial small subunit ribosomal RNA", at positions 28 to 1397 of the family's 1533-position model. The record is from RNAcentral.
AAUGAACGUUGGCGGCAUGGAUUAGGCAUGCAAGUCGAGCGAGAAGGGUUUUGAAGCUUGCUUUAGAACCUGGAAAGCGGCGGAAGGGAGAGUAACGAGUAGUUAUCUACCCCAAGGCCCGGAAUAGCUGCGGGAAACUGCAGGUAAUGCCGGAUAAUAUCCCCGGAUCAAAGGUGUGAUUCCGCCUUGGGAGGAGACUGCUUUGUACUAGCUUGUUGGUGGGGUAAUGGCCUACCAAGGCUACGAUGCAUAGCGGGCGUGAGAGCGUGGCCCGUCUCACUGGGACUGAAACACUGCCCAGACACCUACGGGUGGCUGCAGUCGAGAAUCUUCGGCAAUGGGCGAAAGCCUGACCGAGCGAUGCCGCGUGCGGGAUGAAGGCCCUCGGGUUGUAAACCGCUGUCGUAGAGGAGAAAGGUCUCGUGAAGAGCGAGAUUUGAUCUAUUCUAGGAGGAAGUCGGGGCUAAGUUCGUGCCAGCAGCCGCGGUAACACGAACCCGACGAACGUUAUUCGGAAUUAUUGGGCUUAAAGGGUGCGUAGGCGGUGCGGUAAGUGCGGUGUGAAAGCCCUCGGCUCAACCGAGGAAUUGCGCUGCAUACUGCCGUGCUGGAGGGAGACAGGGGUAAGCGGAACUGAUGGUGGAGCGGUGAAAUGCGUUGAUAUCAUCAGGAACACCGGGUGGCGAAAGCGGCUUACUGGGUCUUCUCUGACGCUGAGGCACGAAAGCUAGGGUAGCGAACGGGAUUAGAUACCCCGGUAGUCCUAGCCGUAAACGAUGAGCACUUGAUUGAGGGCCCCCCCAUAGGCUCUCGAUCGCAGCGAAAGUGUUAAGUGCUCCGCCUGGGGAGUAUGGUCGCAAGGCUGAAACUCAAAGGAAUUGACGGGGGCUCACACAAGCGGUGGAGGAUGUGGCUUAAUUCGAGGCUACGCGAAGAACCUUAUCCAGGCCUUGACAUGUACGGAUGCUGCCCGUGAAAGCGGGUUAGUUGCCUUCGGGUGAAACGUGCACAGGUGCUGCAUGGCUGUCGUCAGCUCGUGUCGUGAGAUGUCGGGUUAAGUCCCUUAACGAGCGAAACCCUUGUCCUUAGUUGCCAGCGAGUCAUGUCGGGGACUCUAAGGAGACUGCCGGCGUUAAGCCGGAGGAAGGUGGGGAUGACGUCAAGUCCUCAUGGCCUUUAUGGUCUGGGCUGCACACGUCCUACAAUGGCAUAUACAAAGGGAUGCUACCUCGCGAGAGCAAGCAAAUCCCAAAAAGUAUGCCCCAGUUCGGAUUGCAGGCUGCAACUCGCCUGCAUGAAGCCGGAAUCGCUAGUAAUCGUGGGUCAGCAUACCACGGUGAAUAUGUUCCUGAGCCUUGUACACACCGCCCGU